Molecule: transfer RNA, 71 nt
Filed under: Ictidomys tridecemlineatus (thirteen-lined ground squirrel)
Lineage: Eukaryota; Metazoa; Chordata; Mammalia; Rodentia; Sciuridae
Description: Spermophilus tridecemlineatus (thirteen-lined ground squirrel) tRNA
Rfam family: tRNA
About the family: Transfer RNA (tRNA) molecules are approximately 80 nucleotides in length. Their secondary structure includes four short double-helical elements and three loops (D, anti-codon, and T loops). Further hydrogen bonds mediate the characteristic L-shaped molecular structure. tRNAs have two regions of fundamental functional importance: the anti-codon, which is responsible for specific mRNA codon recognition, and the 3' end, to which the tRNAs corresponding amino acid is attached (by aminoacyl-tRNA synthetases). tRNAs cope with the degeneracy of the genetic code in two manners: having more than one tRNA (with a specific anti-codon) for a particular amino acid; and 'wobble' base-pairing, i.e. permitting non-standard base-pairing at the 3rd anti-codon position.
Source: Rfam by way of RNAcentral
GGGGGUGUAGCUCGGGGUAGAGUGCUUGCCUAGCAUGCGUGAGGUUCUGGGUUCAAUCCCCAGCACUGCAA